GAUGAACGCUGGCGGUAUGCUUAACACAUGCAAGUCGAACGGACUCUUCGGAGUUAGUGGCGGACGGGUGAGUAACGCGUGAGAAUCUGGCUUUGGGUUCGGGACAACCACUGGAAACGGUGGCUAAUACCGGAUGUGCCGAGAGGUAAAAGAGAAAUUGCCUGAAGAUGAGCUCGCGUCUGAUUAGCUAGUUGGUGAGGUAAAGGCUCACCAAGGCAGCGAUCAGUAGCUGGUCUGAGGGGAUGACCAGCCACACUGGGACUGAGACACGGCCCAGACACCUCCGGCAGGCAGCAGUGGUGAAGUUUCCUGAAUGGGCGACGGCCUGACGGAGCAAUACCGCGUGAGGGAAGAAGACUCUUGGAGUGUAAACCUCUUUUCUUAGGGAAGAACAAAAUGACGGUACCUAAGGAAUCAGCAUCGGCUAACUCCGUG
This 435-nucleotide ribosomal RNA is filed under the name uncultured bacterium. RNAcentral describes it as "partial 16S ribosomal RNA". It matches the Rfam family "Bacterial small subunit ribosomal RNA", at positions 28 to 507 of the family's 1533-position model. The record is from RNAcentral.